AAGCCAGUGGUGAACUCCACAUCCGCAUCCUUUGCUGAGGAUACGGUUAACGGAGCGAAAGCGACGUUCAACCGCAAAACAAGCAGAGGGGGCUUAGUGGUGGGGUGACUGCGUACCUUUUGUAUAAUGGGUCAGCGACUUAUAUUCUGUAGCAAGGUUAACCGUAUAGGGGAGCCGGAGGGAAACCGAGUCUUAAUUGGGCGUUAAGUUGCAGGGUAUAGACCCGAAACCCGGUGAUCUAGCCAUGGGCAGGUUGAAGGUUGGGUAACACUAACUGGAGGACCGAACCGACUAAUGUUGAAAAAUUAGCGGAUGACCUGUGGCUGGGGGUGAAAGGCCAAUCAAACCGGGAGAUAGCUGGUUCUCCCCGAAAGCUAUUUAGGUAGCGCCUCGUGAAUUCAUCUCCGGGGGUAGAGCACUGUUUCGGCUAGGGGGCCAUCCCGGCUUACCAACCCGAUGCAAACUGCGAAUACCGGAGAAUGUUAUCACGGGAGACACACGGCGGGUGCUAACGUCCGUCGUGAAGAGGGAAACAACCCAGACCGCCAGCUAAGGUCCCAAAGUCAUGGUUAAGUGGGAAACGAUGUGGGAAGGCCCAGACAGCCAGGAUGUUGGCUUAGAAGCAGCCAUCAUUUAAAGAAAGCGUAAUAGCUCACUGGUCGAGUCGGCCUGCGCGGAAGAUGUAACGGGGCUAAACCAUGCACCGAAGCUGCGGCAGCGAACGUAUCACCCAAGACAACUUUACGGAGUUGACGAUUGACGGAGCGAAGCGACGUCAAAGCGUUCAUUAAAGUCGAGUUGGCUUAGGGAUACGUUCGUUGGGUAGGGGAGCGUUCUGUAAGCCUGUGAAGGUGUGUCGUGAGGCAUGCUGGAGGUAUCAGAAGUGCGAAUGCUGACAUAAGUAACGAUAAAGCGGGUGAAAAGCCCGCUCGCCGGAAGACCAAGGGUUCCUGUCCAACGUUAAUCGGGGCAGGGUGAGUCGACCCCUAAGGCGAGGCCGAAAGGCGUAGUCGAUGGGAAACGGGUUAAUAUUCCCGUACUUGGUGUUACUGCGAAGGGGGGACGGAGAAGGCUAUGUUGGCCGGGCGACGGUUGUCCCGGUUUAAGCGUGUAGGUGUGUGUUCCAGGUAAAUCCG
RNAcentral lists this ribosomal RNA (1136 nucleotides) under Salmonella enterica subsp. enterica serovar Typhimurium. RNAcentral's name for it is "partial 23S ribosomal RNA". It matches the Rfam family "Bacterial large subunit ribosomal RNA", at positions 1 to 1544 of the family's 2925-position model. Lineage: Bacteria; Pseudomonadati; Pseudomonadota; Gammaproteobacteria; Enterobacterales; Enterobacteriaceae. The record is from RNAcentral.